GCAGAGAAAAAGAAAGGGGUUGAAAUCAAAGGGAUUUCUGCUGUAACGCUGGCUCCACCUGUGACUAGCUCUGUCGCUUCAGAGCAAUUAAUUUCUGAGCCUCAAUUGCCUCAUCAGUAAAAUGGGACAAGUAUCUCAAGUUCCUGUCACAUAUGAUUAGUAUUCUACAAAUUGUAGCUCUAAUUAUUAUAUAGAUACUUUACAGGUAAAGCAGACCCAGAGAUGCUCACAUGCUCACAGGUAGCUUGGAAUGAACUUGUAGUUAAUAGUUACAAAUGCUUGUUAUGUGCCAGGCACUAUUCUAAGUGUUACACACCUAAUCCUCACAUUGGCACUAAGAAGUAGGUAAUAUAACUAUCAUUCUUAUGUUAAGUAUGAGAAAACUGGAGCACCAAGAGGUUACUAAAUAUCCUGAAUUCACAUGGGUUGCAGCACAGAGCCAAAAUUUCAAAGGGAGCAGGCCACCUUUAGGUACCACGUGUUACCUCUUGUGUAUUACCUAUCCCAAAAAUGAGAAGAUAAACCAGGAGCAGUGGCACACCCCUAUAUAUAUUC
Molecule: long non-coding RNA, 555 nt
Filed under: Marmota monax (woodchuck)
Lineage: Eukaryota; Metazoa; Chordata; Mammalia; Rodentia; Sciuridae
Source: RNAcentral